CCCCUGGAGGCGUGGGUUCAAAUCCCACUUCUGACAGAAGGUUAAGACAAGUGUUUUAAUAUCUGUAAAGUCCAAAACAAGAGGUUGCGAGGGAAACCGUGAAAAAGGCAUUCAUGUAACAAUAAAUGUCCAGUUACGUGAAUGUGUAUGUGCCACAAGGGAGGACGCUGCAGGUAUCAGACCUGAUAUUUCUCGCUCUUUUGUAAAAAAGGAUGUGCAAUUCAAUGACAUAUGAAAUAUAGGUUAUCCUGCUUUUUGUCAUAUUUUCAAUAUUUGAGGUAUUUUACUGUCAGGAUGGCCGAGUGGUCUAAGGCGCUGCGUUAAGGUUGCAGUCUCCCCUGGAGGCGUGGGGUCAUAUCACACUUCUGGCAAAAGAGUUAAGACAAGUGUUUUAAUUUCUGUAAAGUCCAAAACAAGAGGUUGCGAGAGAAACCGUGAAAAAGGCAUUCAUGUAACAAUAAAUGUCCACUUACGUGAAUGUGUAUGUGCCACAAGGGAGGACGCUGCAGGUAUCAGAGCUGAUAUUUCUCGCUCUUUUGUAAAAAAGGAUGUGCAAUUCAAUGAUAUAUGAAAUAUAG
Gasterosteus aculeatus aculeatus (three-spined stickleback) is the source of this 578-nucleotide long non-coding RNA. The record is from Ensembl. NCBI's taxonomy places the organism in Eukaryota, Metazoa, Chordata, Actinopteri, Perciformes, Gasterosteidae.